This 243-nucleotide ribosomal RNA is filed under the name uncultured prokaryote. RNAcentral describes it as "partial 16S ribosomal RNA". It matches the Rfam family "Bacterial small subunit ribosomal RNA", at positions 524 to 766 of the family's 1533-position model. The record is from RNAcentral.
UACAGAGGUCCCAAGCGUUGUUCGGAUUCACUGGGCGUAAAGCGUGCGCAGGCGGUUCGCAAAGUCUGAUGUGAAAGCCCCGGGCUCAACCUGGGAAUUGCAUUGGAAACUGACGAGCUUGAGUGUGGCAGAGGGGGGUGGAAUUCCACGUGUAGCAGUGAAAUGCGUAGAGAUGUGGAGGAACACCGAUGGCGAAGGCAGCCCCCUGGGCUAACACUGACGCUCAGGCACGAAAGCGUGGGG